RNAcentral lists this small RNA (643 nucleotides) under Histoplasma capsulatum. RNAcentral's name for it is "hypothetical RNA". The record is from RNAcentral. RNAcentral also lists the same sequence under 1 other name. Lineage: Eukaryota; Fungi; Ascomycota; Eurotiomycetes; Onygenales; Ajellomycetaceae.
CCUUCACAUGAUCAUGCUCUUCGUGACAUAUCGGUCUCAAAUAUGACUUCUUUCUUUUCCAAACCUUGCCAUAGGCUGGCGUAAUUGCCAUAUCUGUAGCAUCUGGCACAACGAUCAUUGCCUCCAGCAGAAAACGCAAUUUAUGUUGGUGAGCUUCCUUACGCUUUGGGCAACUUUCAGACCCGGAUUCGCCGUCAUAAGGAUGAUUUGACGAUAUGCUCAACCAGUGAUAGCAAAAUUAGAUAUCCUAUACGGUAGAAUCCUUAUCUGGGAUGGUUUGAGGGUUCCCCCUAUAGCAGUGACGAAUGGGUCCUCGAUCCCAGGCGGGAAUAGGAAGCGAGGGUAUGAUCUCUUCAUCAAAGGGAGAAAUGGUGGGAUCACUGCAAGUGCGAAACGAUUUUUCCCGCUGGCCACUACGUUCCAUUAGGUGUGCGACUCAACAGGAGCCAUGUCGUUGAGGGUAAAUUCGCCGUUGGGUUUGCAAGCGAGCGCUAUUGUACAUACAAACAUGAGAAGGCCAAAAAGACAUGCCAAGAAGAUGUUAUGCUCUGUAUGGCCUUUAAAAUAAAUAUUAUAUAUCCGGAUAUAUUCUAAAUAAUUAUAUUCGGCUGUAUAUAGCAGUGCAAACACUAGAGAAUAACAA